GAUUUUCCUUCUCCAUCUUCCCCAUGGCGAUAUGUUGCAGUGAUUCUGGGGAUCCUCUGUGUAGUAUUGUUGGGAGCUGUGGGGUUCCAGAGUGUCAAACGAGACAACUGCAGCCUUUGCCCAGAAAACUGGAUACAGCAUGAGGAGGACUGUUACCAUUUUUCUACUGAAUGGAGAACUUGGCAAGAGAGUAAAGAUUAUUGCUCUUCUCAGGGCUCCAGACUUUUGAAGAUACACAGCAAGAAAAAACAGGAUUUCAUAAAGCCUCUAGCAUUUUCUUAUCACUGGAUCGGAUUAUUCCGUAAUGGGAUCAACGAAUCCUGGGUUUGGAAGGAUGGCACAUCUCUAACCCUUAACCUGUUUGCAGAACAUCCAGAUUUUAAUAGCGGUGACUGUGCUGCUUUCAGAAUUGGAGAAGCCCACUCCUAUGGCUGUGAACAAUCAAAACCCUAUAUCUGUGAGCAGAGGGCUGCUUAGAUGAAGCCUGUUAUAGCAGCAUAAGAAAGACUGGAGAAAGACACUGAGGCUUCUUCAGUGGCCUUCAGUGCCUCACUGAGGCACAAAAAUUCAUGGAGCUCCUGGUAACUGGAGCUUUUAUGCUGCCCUUUAACAAGGUGUGGCAUGUGCUCCCCUCCUUGGCUGACCAUGGACCUGUUUCCUCCCCACCCCUUUUG
This is a long non-coding RNA of Trachemys scripta elegans, 674 nucleotides long. RefSeq lists it as uncharacterized. NCBI's taxonomy places the organism in Eukaryota, Metazoa, Chordata, Testudines, Emydidae. The record is from RefSeq and is a predicted model, not a curated record. The transcript has 4 exons.